Molecule: ribosomal RNA, 330 nt
Filed under: uncultured bacterium
Lineage: Bacteria
Description: bacterial SSU rRNA
Rfam family: Bacterial small subunit ribosomal RNA
Source: RNAcentral
GAUGAACGCGUGGCGGCGUGCUUAACACAUGCAAGUCGAACGAAGCGAUUUAAACGAGAAGUUUCUUCGGAUUGACGUUUAUCUGACUUAGUGGCGGACGGGUGAGUAACGCGUGGAUAACCUGCCUGUAUCUGGGGGAUAACAGUUAGAAAUGACUGCUAAUACCGCAUAAGCGCACGACACCGCAUGGUGAUGUGUGAAAAGCCUUGUGUGGAUACAGAUGGAUCCGCGUUAGAUUAGCCAGUUGGCGGGGUAACGGCCCACCAAAGCGACGAUCUAUAGCCGGCCUGAGAGGGCGACCGGCCACAUUGGGACUGAGACACGGCCCAA